AUUGAACGCUGGCGGCAGGCCUAACACAUGCAAGUCGAGCGAGCGGCGGACGGGUGAGUAAUGUAUGGGGAUCUGACCGAUAGAGGGGGAUAACUACUGGAAACGGUGGCUAAUACCGCAUACUAUCGGUUGAAGCGAUAUGGGAUUAGCUAGUAGGUGGGGUAAAGGCUCACCGAGGCGACAAGCGCUAGCUGGUCUGCGAGGGUGAUCGGCCACACUGGGACUGAGACACGGCCCAGACUCCUACGGGAGGCAGCAGUGGGGAAUCUUGCACAAUGGGCGCAAGUCUGAUGGAGCCAUGCCGCGUGUAUGAAGAAGGCUUUAGGGUUGUAAAGUACUUUCAGCGGGGAGGCGUUACCCGCAGAAGAAGCACCGGCUAACUCCGUGCCAGCAGCCGCGGUAAUUC
This 406-nucleotide ribosomal RNA is filed under the name uncultured bacterium. RNAcentral's name for it is "partial 16S ribosomal RNA". It matches the Rfam family "Bacterial small subunit ribosomal RNA", at positions 30 to 526 of the family's 1533-position model. The record is from RNAcentral.